Molecule: ribosomal RNA, 697 nt
Filed under: uncultured Oscillatoriales cyanobacterium
Lineage: Bacteria; Bacillati; Cyanobacteriota; Cyanophyceae; Oscillatoriales
Description: bacterial SSU rRNA
Rfam family: Bacterial small subunit ribosomal RNA
Source: RNAcentral
AGUGGCGGACGGGUGAGUAACGCGUGAGGAUCUGCCUUUAGGAUGGGGACAACAGUUGGAAACGACUGCUAAUACCCAAUGUGCCGAAAGGUGAAAGCUUUAGCGCCUGAGGAUGAACUCGCGUCUGAUUAGCUAGUUGGUAGUGUAAUGGACUACCAAGGCGACGAUCAGUAGCUGGUCUGAGAGGAUGAUCAGCCACACUGGGACUGAGACACGGCCCAGACUCCUACGGGAGGCAGCAGUGGGGAAUUUUCCGCAAUGGGCGAAAGCCUGACGGAGCAACGCCGCGUGAGGGAAGACGGCUCGUGGGUUGUAAACCUCUUUUCUCUAGGAAGAAGAACUGACGGUACUAGAGGAAUCAGCAUCGGCUAACUCCGUGCCAGCAGCCGCGGUAAUACGGAGGAUGCAAGCGUUAUCCGGAAUUAUUGGGCGUAAAGCGUCCGUAGGCGGUUUUACAAGUCUGCUGUUAAAGCGUGCAGCUCAACUGCAUAUAGGCAGUGGAAACUGUAAGACUAGAGUGUAGUAGGGGUAGAGGGAAUUCCCAGUGUAGCGGUGAAAUGCGUAGAUAUUGGGAAGAACACCGGUGGCGAAAGCGCUCUACUGGGCUACAACUGACGCUGAUGGACGAAAGCUAGGGGAGCGAAAGGGAUUAGAUACCCCUGUAGUCCUAGCCGUAAACGAUGGACACUAGGUGUUG